UACGUAGGUGGCAAGCGUUGUCCGGAUUUACUGGGCGUAAAGAGCGCGCAGGCGGUCAGAUAAGUCGAAUGUGAAAGCCCCCGGCUCAACUGGGGAGGGUCAUUCGAUACUGUUCGACUCGAAGGCAGAAGAGGGAAGCGGAAUUCCAGGUGUAGCGGUGAAAUGCGUAGAUAUCUGGAGGAACACCGGUGGCGAAGGCGGCAUCCUGGACCGGUAUUGACGCUGAGGCGCGAAAGCUAGGGGAGCAAACGGG
Molecule: ribosomal RNA, 253 nt
Filed under: uncultured bacterium
Lineage: Bacteria
Description: partial 16S ribosomal RNA
Rfam family: Bacterial small subunit ribosomal RNA
Source: RNAcentral